Molecule: ribosomal RNA, 468 nt
Filed under: uncultured bacterium
Lineage: Bacteria
Description: partial 16S ribosomal RNA
Rfam family: Bacterial small subunit ribosomal RNA
Source: RNAcentral
GACGAACGCUGGCGGCGUGCUUAACACAUGCAAGUCGAACGGAAAGGCCCUGCUUUUGUGGGGUGCUCGAGUGGCGAACGGGUGAGUAACACGUGAGUAACCUGCCCUUGACUUUGGGAUAACUUCGGGAAACUGGGGCUAAUACCGGAUAGGAGCUCCUGCUGCAUGGUGGGGGUUGGAAAGUUUCGGCGGUUGGGGAUGGACUCGCGGCUUAUCAGCUGGUUGGUGGGGUAGUGGCUUACCAAGGCUUUGACGGGUAGCCGGCCUGAGAGGGUGACCGGCGACAUUGGGACUGAGAUACGGCCCAGACUCCUACGGGAGGCAGCAGUGGGGAAUAUUGCACAAUGGGCGGAAGCCUGAUGCAGCAACGCCGCGUGCGGGAUGACGGCCUUCGGGUUGUAAACCGCUUUCGCCUGUGACGAAGCGUGAGUGACGGUAAUGGGUAAAGAAGCACCGGCUAACUACGUG